This 448-nucleotide ribosomal RNA is filed under the name uncultured bacterium. Its description in RNAcentral is "bacterial SSU rRNA". It matches the Rfam family "Bacterial small subunit ribosomal RNA", at positions 329 to 793 of the family's 1533-position model. The record is from RNAcentral.
UCCCAGACUCCUACGGGAGGCAGCAGUGGGGAAUAUUGCACAAUGGGGGAAACCCUGAUGCAGCGACGCCGCGUGAGUGAAGAAGUAUUUCGGUAUGUAAAGCUCUAUCAGCAGGGAAGAAAAUGACGGUACCUGAUUAAGAAGCCCCGGCUAACUACGUGCCAGCAGCCGCGGUAAUACGUAGGGGGCAAGCGUUAUCCGGAUUUACUGGGUGUAAAGGGAGCGUAGACGGUGCAGCAAGUCUGAUGUGAAAGGGCGGGGCCCAACCCCGGGACUGCAUUGGAAGCUGUUGAACUGGAGUACAGGAGAGGUAAGCGGAAUUCCUAGUGUAGCGGUGAAAUGCGUAGAUAUUAGGAGGAACACCAGUGGCGAAGGCGGCUUACUGGACUGUAACUGACGUUGAGGCUCGAAAGCGUGGGGAGCAAACAGGAUUAGAUACCCGUGUACG